This is a long non-coding RNA of Peromyscus maniculatus bairdii (prairie deer mouse), 354 nucleotides long. RefSeq lists it as uncharacterized. Lineage: Eukaryota; Metazoa; Chordata; Mammalia; Rodentia; Cricetidae. The record is from RefSeq and is a predicted model, not a curated record.
CGGAAGGACCUGGCCUCCACCUCCCUAGACACCACCCUAUCGCCAGAACCUGGUCCUGGCCACUUCAGAUCUCCUCCCCCAAUCUCCAAUUAGAAUGUGAGGUGUAGCGUCAUGUGGAGCCAGAUAGGAAAUUUCAUUGAGUUCCACCUCUGUGUCGAACAUUGUUGAAGGCACUGAGGAUAGAGCAGAGAAGCAGCAGUGAGCAUUCGUCUGCCAGUGUUCCUCCCAACGAGCCAUCUAGACACUACCCACACCUCGUCUCCCAUCUGGUACUAUCAUUUGAUAUUUACCUUCAGUGAUCUCUCGUUAUCCACUUACCACUGCCAUCUUACAUUAAAUUAUCCACUUACUAUA